GAUUCCCCUAGUAACUGAGAGUGAAGCGGGAAAAGCUCAAAUUUAAAAUCUGGCAGCUUUUGUUGCCCGAGUUGUAGUCUAGAGAAGCGUCUUCCGCGUUGGNCCGUGUAUAAGUCUCUUGGAACAGAGCGUCAUAGAGGGUGAGAAUCCCGUCUUUAACACGGACUACCAGUGCUUUGUGAUGCGCUCUCAAAGAGUCGAGUUGUUUGGGAAUGCAGCUCAAAAUGGGUGGUAAAUUCCAUCUAAAGCUAAAUAUUGGCGAGAGCCCGAUAGCGAACAAGUACCGUGAGGGAAAGAUGAAAAGCACUUUGGAAAGAGAGUUAAACAGUACGUGAAAUUGCUGAAAGGGAAACGCUUGAAGUCAGUCGCGUUAGCUAGAACUCAACCAGGCUUNNNNNGCUUGGUGCAUUNUCUAGUUUAACGGGCCAGCAUCAGUUUUGGCUGCAGGAUAAAGGUCAGAGAAAUGUGGCAGCUUUGGCUGUGUUAUAGUCUCUGGCUGCAUACUGUGUCNGGGACUGAGGAUCUCAGCACGCAUUUGA
Molecule: ribosomal RNA, 539 nt
Filed under: Trametopsis cervina
Lineage: Eukaryota; Fungi; Basidiomycota; Agaricomycetes; Polyporales; Irpicaceae
Description: eukaryotic LSU rRNA
Rfam family: Eukaryotic large subunit ribosomal RNA
Source: RNAcentral